GGUGUUGAUUUGCGUCAGGAGUUUUCUGUUGAGGCUGAGCAAGUAGAAGCGAGGAGGCAUCGCGGCAGAAGAAAUCCUGAUCAUCAAGCGC
This 91-nucleotide microRNA precursor is filed under the name Glycine max (soybean). RNAcentral describes it as "miR4997b stem-loop (gma-MIR4997b)". Lineage: Eukaryota; Viridiplantae; Streptophyta; Magnoliopsida; Fabales; Fabaceae. The record is from miRBase by way of RNAcentral.